This 46-nucleotide microRNA precursor is filed under the name Monodelphis domestica (gray short-tailed opossum). Its description in RNAcentral is "microRNA mdo-mir-12296 precursor". The record is from miRBase by way of RNAcentral. Lineage: Eukaryota; Metazoa; Chordata; Mammalia; Didelphimorphia; Didelphidae.
GGGCAGGGGCAGGGGGCGGAAUGACCCCUAAUGCCCAGCAGCCCCC